CGCCCAAACAGUACACGUAAGAAUGAUUACAUUUGAUAUUUUGUCCAGCCACAUACUUGAUUUCAGAGUUCAAAGGUGAAUGUUAAAAGAGGGCAAUUACUGUAUGUCAUAUGGGCCAGUGAGUACUACAUACUGCAUAGUUUACUCUUUAAAAAAAAUACAGCAGUUUAUAUUUCAGAAAAGGCUACAUUGAUCAUUCAAAAGUGACACGGUGAUAUCAUUGCUCCAAACGGGAUUUUUAUUUGAAGGAAUAACUGAAGAGGGUUGUUCGGGAAAAGCACUGUCAACAACACAGAUGGAGCAAACUGAUGGUGCUUGGGGUCCUAAAGAUAGCAGCAUAAUUAAUUCAGGCUGAAGUUAAUGGAAAGAAUGUGCUGUGCAGCCCAGAAGUUUGCAACAUAAAUCAACAGUGAUGGUGCAAACUGAUGGUGCCUGUCUGAUAUCUUAAUGAUAGCAGUGUCAUUUUUUUAAGGUAAGAUUGAACUUAAGUUGAAUAUGUGUUCAAUAAAUGCUCAAGCAUUUCCUUUUUCUUUACAGAUAUGAAAUCAGAUUAACACCCCACCAAAGGCAAUAAACAACCCAGAUUCAGUUCCAGAAUGGUUUAAAAUAAAUAUUGACAGAUUAAGAAGUAACACGGUGUUUAUUUAAUGUUACAUUGAAAAAUAUAUAUGUAAAAUAUAUUUUUAGAUGCAUUUCAAGAAUACAUUUGAAAAUAUAAAGAAAUGGCCAAAUCAUAUAUUUGUAAAAAAUAUAUUAAAUGCAUUUUAAAUACAUUUUUAGAUGCACUUUAAGUACAUUUUCAGAUGCACAGUCCUAAGACUCCAGCAAAAAUGGGCUUUUCAAUUAACUGACUUUCAUUCAUCUGCAUGUGCAGCCCUUAUUUUUAGCCUCACAAUGAAGCGUUUUACCAUUUUCUUUUCAGGAUAACAAGGGCUACACGUAGAACACAAAACAUUGACAUAAACAGUUGCAUUUAUGAGUUGUAUUGACAAAUGUCAAUAAAUAAAAAGUCUUCCAAUGCAAAACCCGGAUAAAAAUGUAUUUAUAUUAACUCUGUAAGUACAGAAAUGGUUUGCUUAGUGGGAAAUGAAUAUCCAACUAUUCAGUGACAACUGUGUGGAGUUUGGAGUUUGUGACAGCAACUAUGUGAGCUUAUUACAUACAGUAUUAUAGACACCAUGUCCUGGGAUUUCCUAUUAUCUUCUACAGUGCCUUCAGAAAGUAUUCAUACCCCUUGACUUAUUCCACAUUGUGUUGUGUUACAGCCUGAAUUCAAAAUGGAUUAAACACAUUUUUAUCUCACCCAUCUACACACAAUACCCCAUAAUGACUAAAUGAAAACAUGUUUUUAGAAAAUGUUGCAAAUGUAUUGAAAAUGAAAUACAGAAAUAUCUCAUUUACCAUAAGUAUUAACACCCCUGACUCAACCCAAAAGCUUUUUUGGCCUCCACUGGACACAAUGGUCUUGCAGCUCUAGAAACUAAGAGCCUGUCUGUGGGAGAGAGGAGGUAGAGAGAAGAUGGGGAGGAGGGAGAGAGAGAGAGAGAGAGAGAGAGGGAGAGAGAUGGGGGAGGCAAGGAAAGGAGGGAAAGAGAAUGGAGGGGGA
Salmo salar (Atlantic salmon) is the source of this 1606-nucleotide non-coding RNA. Lineage: Eukaryota; Metazoa; Chordata; Actinopteri; Salmoniformes; Salmonidae. The record is from RefSeq and is a predicted model, not a curated record.